GAUGAACGCUGGCGGCGUGCCUAAUACAUGUAAGUCGAGCGAACGGACGAGAAGCUUGCUUCUCUGAUGUUAGCGGCGGACGGGUGAGUAACACGUGGAUAACCUACCUAUAAGACUGGGAUAACUUCGGGAAACCGGAGCUAAUACCGGAUGAUAUUUUGAACCGCAUGGUUCAAAAGUGAAAGACGGUCUUGCUGUCACUUAUAGAUGGAUCCGCGCUGCAUUAGCUAGUUGGUAAGGUAACGGCUUACCAAGGCAACGAUGCAUAGCCGACCUGAGAGGGUGAUCGGCCACACUGGAACUGAGACACGGUCCAGACUCCUACGGGAGGCAGCAGUAGGAAAUCUUCCGCAAUGGGCGAAAGCCUGACGGAGCAACGCCGCGUGAGUGAUGAAGGUCUUCGGAUCGUAAAACUCUGUUAUUAGGGAAGAACAUAUGUGUAAGUAACUGUGCACAUCUUGACGGUACCUAAUCAGAAAGCCACGGCUAACUACGUG
This 497-nucleotide ribosomal RNA is filed under the name uncultured bacterium. RNAcentral describes it as "partial 16S ribosomal RNA". It matches the Rfam family "Bacterial small subunit ribosomal RNA", at positions 28 to 507 of the family's 1533-position model. The record is from RNAcentral.